RNAcentral lists this ribosomal RNA (2934 nucleotides) under Pectobacterium polaris. RNAcentral describes it as "bacterial LSU rRNA". It matches the Rfam family "Bacterial large subunit ribosomal RNA". Lineage: Bacteria; Pseudomonadati; Pseudomonadota; Gammaproteobacteria; Enterobacterales; Pectobacteriaceae. The record is from RNAcentral.
GGGUUGUGAGGUUAAGCGACUAAGCGUACACGGUGGAUGCCUAGGCAGUCAGAGGCGAUGAAGGGCGUGCUAAUCUGCGAUAAGCGUCGGUAAGCUGAUAUGAAGCGUUAUACCCGACGAUACCCGAAUGGGGAAACCCAGUGUGUUUCGACACACUAUCAUUAUGUGAAUACAUAGCGUAAUGAGGCGAACCGGGGGAACUGAAACAUCUCAGUACCCCGAGGAAAAGAAAUCAACCGAGAUUCCCCUAGUAGCGGCGAGCGAACGGGGAGGAGCCCAGAACCUGAAUCAGUUUGUGUGUUAGUGGAAGCGUCUGGAAAGUCGCACAGUAAAGGGUGAUAGUCCCGUACACAAAAAUGCACAGAUUGUGAGUUCGAUGAGUAGGGCGGGACACGUGACAUCCUGUCUGAAUAUGGGGGACCAUCCUCCAAGGCUAAAUACUCCUGACUGACCGAUAGUGAACCAGUACCGUGAGGGAAAGGCGAAAAGAACCCCGGCGAGGGGAGUGAAAUAGAACCUGAAACCGUGUACGUACAAGCAGUGGGAGCCUUGAUUAAUCAGGGUGACUGCGUACCUUUUGUAUAAUGGGUCAGCGACUUAUAUUCUGUAGCAAGGUUAACCGUAUAGGGGAGCCGUAGGGAAACCGAGUCUUAACUGGGCGUUAAGUUGCAGGGUAUAGACCCGAAACCCGGUGAUCUAGCCAUGGGCAGGUUGAAGGUUGGGUAACACUAACUGGAGGACCGAACCGACUAAUGUUGAAAAAUUAGCGGAUGACUUGUGGCUGGGGGUGAAAGGCCAAUCAAACCGGGAGAUAGCUGGUUCUCCCGAAAGCUAUUUAGGUAGCGCCUCGUGAAUUCAUCUUCGGGGUAGAGCACUGUUUCGGCUAGGGGGUCAUCCCGACUUACCAACCCGAUGCAAACUACGAAUACCGAAGAAUGUUAUCACGGGAGACACACGGCGGGUGCUAACGUUCGUCGUGAAGAGGGAAACAACCCAGACCGCCAGCUAAGGUCCCAAAGUCAUGGUUAAGUGGGAAACGAUGUGGGAAGGCACAGACAGCCAGGAUGUUGGCUUAGAAGCAGCCAUCAUUUAAAGAAAGCGUAAUAGCUCACUGGUCGAGUCGGCCUGCGCGGAAGAUGUAACGGGGCUAAACCAUGCACCGAAGCUGCGGCAGCGACACUUAGGUGUUGUUGGGUAGGGGAGCGUUCUGUAAGCCGUCGAAGGUGGCCUGUGAGGGCUGCUGGAGGUAUCAGAAGUGCGAAUGCUGACAUAAGUAACGAUAAUGCGGGUGAAAAACCCGCACGCCGGAAGACCAAGGGUUCCUGUCCAACGUUAAUCGGGGCAGGGUGAGUCGACCCCUAAGGCGAGGCUGAAAAGCGUAGUCGAUGGGAAACAGGUUAAUAUUCCUGUACUCGGUGUUACUGCGAAGGGGGGACGGAGAAAGCUAGGUUAUCCGGGCGACGGUUGUCCCGGUUUAAGCGUGAAGGUGGAUGACUUUGGUAAAUCCGGGUCGUCAUUAACACUGAGGCGUGAUGACGAGUCACUACGGUGAUGAAGUAACCAAUGCUACGCUUCCAGGAAAAGCCUCUAAGCUCCAGGUAACAUCAAAUCGUACCCCAAACCGACACAGGUGGUCAGGUAGAGAAUACUCAGGCGCUUGAGAGAACUCGGGUGAAGGAACUAGGCAAAAUGGUGCCGUAACUUCGGGAGAAGGCACGCUGAUGGUAGGUGAAGUGACUUGCUCACGGAGCUGAAAUCAGUCGAAGAUACCAGCUGGCUGCAACUGUUUAAUAAAAACACAGCACUGUGCAAACACGAAAGUGGACGUAUACGGUGUGACGCCUGCCCGGUGCCGGAAGGUUAAUUGAUGGGGUCAGCCGCAAGGCGAAGCUCUUGAUCGAAGCCCCGGUAAACGGCGGCCGUAACUAUAACGGUCCUAAGGUAGCGAAAUUCCUUGUCGGGUAAGUUCCGACCUGCACGAAUGGCGUAAUGAUGGCCAGGCUGUCUCCACCCGAGACUCAGUGAAAUUGAACUCGCUGUGAAGAUGCAGUGUACCCGCGGCAAGACGGAAAGACCCCGUGAACCUUUACUAUAGCUUGACACUGAACCUUGAGCCUUGAUGUGUAGGAUAGGUGGGAGGCUUUGAAGCGUGGACGCCAGUCUGCGUGGAGCCAACCUUGAAAUACCACCCUUUAAUGUUUGAUGUUCUAACGUGGGCCCGUGAUCCGGGUUGCGGACAGUGUCUGGUGGGUAGUUUGACUGGGGCGGUCUCCUCCCAAAGCGUAACGGAGGAGCACGAAGGUUAGCUAAUCCUGGUCGGACAUCAGGAGGUUAGUGCAAAGGCAUAAGCUAGCUUGACUGCGAGAGUGACAGCUCGAGCAGGUGCGAAAGCAGGUCUUAGUGAUCCGGUGGUUCUGAAUGGAAGGGCCAUCGCUCAACGGAUAAAAGGUACUCCGGGGAUAACAGGCUGAUACCGCCCAAGAGUUCAUAUCGACGGCGGUGUUUGGCACCUCGAUGUCGGCUCAUCACAUCCUGGGGCUGAAGUAGGUCCCAAGGGUAUGGCUGUUCGCCAUUUAAAGUGGUACGCGAGCUGGGUUUAGAACGUCGUGAGACAGUUCGGUCCCUAUCUGCCGUGGGCGUUGGAAGAUUGAGAGGGGUUGCUCCUAGUACGAGAGGACCGGAGUGAACGCACCACUGGUGUUCGGGUUGUGAUGCCAAUUGCAUUGCCCGGUAGCUAAGUGCGGAAGAGAUAACCGCUGAAAGCAUCUAAGCGGGAAACUUGCCUCGAGAUGAGUCUUCCCUGGGCACUAGAUGCCCCUGAAGGGCCGUUGAAGACGACGACGUAGAUAGGCUGGGUGUGUAAGCGUAGCGAUACGUUGAGCUAACCAGUACUAAUGACCCGAGAGGCUUAACCUUACAACACCGAAGGUGUUU